GUAACGCUGGCGGCGUGUCUUAGCCAUGCAAGUCGAGCGGACUUAUGGGGUAACUUAUAAGUCAGCGGCGGACGGCGGAGUAACACGUAGCUAACCUACCCUCUGGACGGGGAUAACCUACCGAAAGGUGGGCUAAUACCCGAUGUAGUCAUCCUGUAUAGGGGUGAUGAAAGGUGGGCUUCUGUUUACAAGCUCAUGCUGGAGGAGGGGGCUGCGGCCUAUCAGGUAGUUGGUAGGGUAAUAGCCUACCAAGCCGAUGACGGGUAGCCGGCCUGAGAGGGUGACCGGCCCGAGGGGCACUGAGAUACGGGUCCCACUCCUACGGGAGGCAGCAGGCUAGAAAUUUGGGCAAUGGGGGAAACCCUGACCCAGUGACGCCGCGUGCAGGAAGGAGCCCUUCGGGGUGUAAACUGCUGUCGUGUAGGGAGAAGGGUACUAAGGUGAACAAUCUUAGUACUUGACGGUACUACAGGAGGAAGCCCAGGCUAACCUCGUG
This 496-nucleotide ribosomal RNA is filed under the name uncultured bacterium. RNAcentral describes it as "bacterial SSU rRNA". It matches the Rfam family "Bacterial small subunit ribosomal RNA", at positions 32 to 507 of the family's 1533-position model. The record is from RNAcentral.